UUAAAUCAGUUAUCAGUCUAUUUGAUAGUACCUUACUACUUGGAUAACCGUGGUAAUUCUAGAGCUAAUACAUGCUAAAAAUCCCGACUUCGGAAGGGAUGUAUUUAUUAGAUUAAAAACCAAUGCCCUCUGGGCUCCCUGGUGAUUCAUAAUAACUUCUCGAAUCGCAUGGCCUUGUGCCGGCGAUGGUUCAUUCGAAUUUCUGCCCUAUCAACUUUCGACGGCUGGGUAUUGGCCAGCCGUGGUGACAACGGGUAACGGAGGGUUAGGGCUCGACCCCGGAGAAGGAGCCUGAGAAACGGCUACUACAUCCAAGGAAGGCAGCAGGCGCGCAAAUUACCCAAUCCCGACACGGGGAGGUAGUGACAAUAAAUACUGAUACAGGGCUCUUUUGGGUCUUGUAAUUGGAAUGAGAACAAUUUAAAUCCCUUAUCGAGGAACAAUUGGAGGGCAAGUCUGGUGCCAGCAGCCGCGGUAAUUCCAGCUCCAAUAGCGUAUAUUAAAGUUGUUGCGGUUAAAAAGCUCGUAGUUGAACCUUGGGCCUGGCUGGCCGGUCCGCCUCACCGCGAGCACUGGUUCGGUUGGGCCUUUUCCUCUAGGGAACCGCAUGUUCUUUACUGGGCGUGUCGGGGAACUAGAACUUUUACUUUGAAAAAAUUAGAGUGUUCAAAGCAGGCCUAUGCUCGAAUACAUUAGCAUGGAAUAAUAGAAUAGGACGUGCGGUUCUAUUUUGUUGGUUUCUAGGACCGCCGUAAUGAUUAAAAGGGACAGUCGGGGGCAUCAGUAUUCAAUUGUCAGAGGUGAAAUUCUUGGAUUUAUUGAAGACUAACUACUGCGAAAGCAUUUGCCAAGGAUGUUUUCAUUAAUCAGGAACGAAAGUCAGGGGAUCGAAGACGAUCAGAUACCGUCGUAGUCUUGACCAUAAACUAUGCGAACUAGGGAUCGGACGAUGUUAUUUUUUGACUCGUUCGGCACCUUACACGAAA
Molecule: ribosomal RNA, 986 nt
Filed under: Atractospora aquatica
Lineage: Eukaryota; Fungi; Ascomycota; Sordariomycetes; Atractosporales; Atractosporaceae
Description: SSU rRNA
Rfam family: Eukaryotic small subunit ribosomal RNA
Source: RNAcentral